Molecule: ribosomal RNA, 331 nt
Filed under: uncultured eukaryote
Lineage: Eukaryota
Description: partial 18S ribosomal RNA
Rfam family: Eukaryotic small subunit ribosomal RNA
Source: RNAcentral
CCCUUAGAUGUUCUGGGCCGCACGCGCGCUACACUGACGAAGUCAGCGAGCAUGUCCUACGCCGACAGGUGCGGGGAAUCUUGUCAAACUUCGUCGUGAUGGGGAUUGAUUUUUGAAAUUCUUGAUCAUAAACGAGGAAUUCCCAGUAAGCGCAAGUCAGCAGCUUGCGUUGAUUACGUCCCUGCCCUUUGUACACACCGCCCGUCGCUACUACCGAUUGAAUGGUUUAGUGAGAUCUUCGGAUUGGCGCCACUGCAGCUCAGCAAUGGGCUUGGUGGAUGCCGAAAAGUUGAUCAAACUUGAUCAUUUAGAGGAAGUAAAAGUCGUAACA